GAUGAACGCUGGCGGCGUGCCUAAUACAUGCAAGUCGAGCGAACGGACCAUAAGCUUGCUUCUCGCAUGUUAGCGGCGGACGUGUGAGUAACACGUGUAUCACCUCCCUAUCAGACUGGGAUAACUUCGGGACACCGGAGCUAAUCCCGGAUAAUAUCUUGCACCGCAUGGUUCAAAAGUGAAAGACGGUCUUGCUGUCACUUAUAGAUGGAUCCGCGCUGCAUUAGCUAGUUGGUAAGGUAACGGCUUACCAAGGCAACGAUGCAUAGCCGACCUGAGAGGCUGGUCGCCCACACGGGAGCUGAGACGCGGUCCAGACUACUAAGAGACGGCGCAGUCGGGAAUGUUCCGCAAUGGGCGAGAACAUGACGCAACAAGGGCGCGUGAGUGAUGAAGGUCUUCGGAUCGUAAAACUCUGUUAUGAGGGAAGAACAGAUGUGUAAGUAAAUGUGGACAUAGUGACGGUAAUGAAUCAGAAAGCACCGGCUAACUACGUG
This 497-nucleotide ribosomal RNA is filed under the name uncultured bacterium. Its description in RNAcentral is "partial 16S ribosomal RNA". It matches the Rfam family "Bacterial small subunit ribosomal RNA", at positions 28 to 507 of the family's 1533-position model. The record is from RNAcentral.